GCCCCUGUAGCUCAAAUGGAUAGAGCACCCCGCUCCGGACGGGGUUAUGGAGGUUCAAAUCCUCUCAGGGGCA
RNAcentral lists this transfer RNA (73 nucleotides) under Caldisericota bacterium. RNAcentral describes it as "Caldiserica bacterium tRNA-Arg". It matches the Rfam family "tRNA". From Rfam's summary of the family: Transfer RNA (tRNA) molecules are approximately 80 nucleotides in length. Lineage: Bacteria; Pseudomonadati; Caldisericota. The record is from RNAcentral. RNAcentral also lists the same sequence under 1 other name.